RNAcentral lists this ribosomal RNA (253 nucleotides) under uncultured bacterium. RNAcentral describes it as "partial 16S ribosomal RNA". It matches the Rfam family "Bacterial small subunit ribosomal RNA", at positions 524 to 776 of the family's 1533-position model. The record is from RNAcentral.
UCCAGAGGGUGCGAUCGUUAAUCGGAAUUACUGGGCGUAAAGCGUGCGUAGACGGUCAUGUAAGUCGGGUGUGAAAUCCCCGGGCUCAACCUGGGAAUUGCAUUCGAGACUGCGUGGCUAGGGUGCGGAAGAGGGAAGCGGAAUUUCCGGUGUAGCGGUGAAAUGCGUAGAUAUCGGAAGGAACAUCAGUGGCGAAAGCGGCUUCCUGGUCCAGCACCGACGUUCAGGCACGAAAGCGUGGGGAGAAAACAGG